UAGAGUUUGAUUAUGGCUCAGAUUGAACGCUGGCGGCAUGCCUUACACAUGCAAGUCGAACGGUAACGCGGGGCAACCUGGCGACGAGUGGCGAACGGGUGAGUAAUAUAUCGGAACGUGCCCAGUCGUGGGGGAUAACGUAGCGAAAGCUACGCUAAUACCGCAUACGAUCUAUGGAUGAAAGCGGGGGAUCGCAAGACCUCGCGCGAUUGGAGCGGCCGAUAUCAGAUUAGCUAGUUGGUGGGGUAAAGGCCCACCAAGGCGACGAUCUGUAGCUGGUCUGAGAGGACGACCAGCCACACUGGGACCGAGACACGGCCCAGACUCCUACGGGAGGCAGCAGUGGGGAAUUUUGGACAAUGGGCGCAAGCCUGAUCCAGCAAUGCCGCGUGCAGGACGAAGGCCUUCGGGUUGUAAACUGCUUUUGUACGGAACGAAACGGCCCCUUCUAAUACAGGGGGCUAAUGACGGUACCGUAAGAAUAAGCACCGGCUAACUACGUGCCAGCAGCCGCGGUAAUAC
This 522-nucleotide ribosomal RNA is filed under the name uncultured Curvibacter sp. RNAcentral's name for it is "bacterial SSU rRNA". It matches the Rfam family "Bacterial small subunit ribosomal RNA", at positions 1 to 526 of the family's 1533-position model. The record is from RNAcentral. Lineage: Bacteria; Pseudomonadati; Pseudomonadota; Betaproteobacteria; Burkholderiales; Comamonadaceae.